UACGAAGGGGGCUAGCGUUGCUCGGAAUCAUUGGGCGUAAAGCGCACGUAGGCGGGUUUGAAAGUCGAUUGUGAAAACCCUGGGCUCAACCCGGGACCUGCAGUCGAAACUUCAAGUCUUGAAUACUCGAGAGGAUGGUGGAAUUCCAGGAGUAGAAGUGAAAUUCGUAGAUAUCUGGAGGAACACCGGAGGCGAAAGCGGCCAUCUGGCGAGUUAUUGACGCUAAGGUGCGAAAGCGUGGGGAUCAAACAGG
This 253-nucleotide ribosomal RNA is filed under the name uncultured bacterium. Its description in RNAcentral is "partial 16S ribosomal RNA". It matches the Rfam family "Bacterial small subunit ribosomal RNA", at positions 524 to 776 of the family's 1533-position model. The record is from RNAcentral.